UUUGGGUUAAGUAUGAACAAGGGAGAAACAUGAGGGGUUGAAAAUGGGCAAAGAGAAAGGCAAAAUAUAAAACAAAAUUAAAAAUCACACAACCCAUUUAUGGGCGUGUGUGUGUGUGUACGAGCAGAGGAGAAGAAAAGAGGGGGAGCCCUUCUCAAACCCUAAGCAACGAAUUGGAAGGAUUCUGGCCGAAAUCGAACCUGCAUGAACCUUAAUAGUGAUAAUCUAAGCAAGAUGUAACCAAGGUUUUGAUAGUAAUAUGAUGAACGUGUCAAGGAGAGCUCAAGCAUAGGAGGAUAACGGGUCAAGAUAAGGCA
This 317-nucleotide long non-coding RNA is filed under the name Helianthus annuus (common sunflower). Its description in RNAcentral is "sRNA HanXRQr2_Chr12g0530901". Lineage: Eukaryota; Viridiplantae; Streptophyta; Magnoliopsida; Asterales; Asteraceae. The record is from RNAcentral.